Molecule: non-coding RNA, 96 nt
Organism: Mycena leptocephala
Lineage: Eukaryota; Fungi; Basidiomycota; Agaricomycetes; Agaricales; Mycenaceae
Source: the annotation of a GenBank genome assembly
GGCUUGGUAGCACUCGGUGUGCAUCUGCAUCCAAUUUAUCGUUGGCAUCCAAAUGUAUUUAAGCAGACAUUGCUCGUUCGACUCGAGUCCAAGCCA